AUUUGAAAUCUGGCUUCGGCCCGAGUUGUAAUUUGCAGAGGAAGCUUUAGGCGCGGCACCUUCUGAGUCCCCUGGAACGGGGCGCCAUAGAGGGUGAGAGCCCCGUAUAGUUGGAUGCCUAGCCUGUGUAAAGCUCCUUCGACGAGUCGAGUAGUUUGGGAAUGCUGCUCAAAAUGGGAGGUAAAUUUCUUCUAAAGCUAAAUACCGGCCAGAGACCGAUAGCGCACAAGUAGAGUGAUCGAAAGAUGAAAAGCACUUUGAAAAGAGGGUUAAAUAGCACGUGAAAUUGUUGAAAGGGAAGCGCUUGUGACCAGACUUGCGCCGGGCGGAUCAUCCGGUGUUCUCACCGGUGCACUCCGCCCGGCUCAGGCCAGCAUCGGUUCUCGCGGGGGGAUAAAGGUCCUGGGAACGUAGCUCCUCCGGGAGUGUUAUAGCCCGGGGCGUAAUGCCCUCGCGGGGACCGAGGUUCGCGCAUCUGCAAGGAUGCUGGCGUAAUGGUCAUCAGCGACCCGUCUUGAAACACGGACCAAGGAGUCAAGGUUUUGCGCGAGUGUUUGGGUGUAAAACCCGCACGCGUAAUGAAAGUGAACGUAGGUGAGAGCUUCGGCGCAUCAUCGACCGAUCCUGAUGUUUUCGGAUGGAUUUGAGUAGGAGCGUUAAGCCUUGGACCCGAAAGAUGGUGAACUAUGCUUGGAUAGGGUGAAGCCAGAGGAAACUCUGGUGGAGGCUCGCAGCGGUUCUGACGUGCAAAUCGAUCGUCAAAUCUGAGCAU
This 772-nucleotide ribosomal RNA is filed under the name Chaetomium globosum. RNAcentral describes it as "eukaryotic LSU rRNA". It matches the Rfam family "Eukaryotic large subunit ribosomal RNA", at positions 113 to 918 of the family's 3401-position model. The record is from RNAcentral. Lineage: Eukaryota; Fungi; Ascomycota; Sordariomycetes; Sordariales; Chaetomiaceae.